This 744-nucleotide ribosomal RNA is filed under the name Piptocephalis graefenhanii. Its description in RNAcentral is "eukaryotic LSU rRNA". It matches the Rfam family "Eukaryotic large subunit ribosomal RNA", at positions 56 to 615 of the family's 3401-position model. Lineage: Eukaryota; Fungi; Zoopagomycota; Zoopagomycetes; Zoopagales; Piptocephalidaceae. The record is from RNAcentral.
GAAAAGAAACCAACAGGGAUUCCCCUAGUAACGGCGAGUGAAGCGGGAAUAGCUCAAAUUUAAAAUCGCGUUGGGUUCCCCAGUCGCGAAUUGUAGUUUGAUGAGGCGUGCUUGGUAGAUGCCUAGGUCUAAGUCCCUUGGAAAAGGGUAUCAUAGAGGGUGACAAUCCCGUCUGUGGCCUUGUAAGCAAAUACCGUGUAAGCCGCCUUCAAAGAGUCGGGUUGUUUGGGAAUGCAGCCCUAAGCGGGUGGUAAAUUCCAUCUAAAGCUAAAUAUUCGUGAGAGACCGAUAGCGAACAAGUACCGUGAGGGAAAGUUGAAAAGCACUCUGGAGAGAGAGUUAAACAGCACGUGAAAUUGUUAACAGGGAAACGUUAGGCAUCAGUACGCGCCUUGCGUAGAAUCAUCCACUCCCCCGAUUUCAUCCGGUAAGAUGGCGAGCCUUAACCAGCCGUCCCUUGCCGUCUGUCUGAGGGGGGUGGUGCACUUCUGCGUGGGCGGGCCAACUUCAGUUAGGACCGGUAUACACGGCUCCGGGGAAGGUAGGUAGGGGCCUCGGCUCCUGCAACUUAUAGCCCCGGUGUCCCAUAUUGAUCUUGACUGAGGAUUCGCGACCCAUGCCUUCAGGCAAGGGCCCUUUCGUACUCUCGUCCUCCGCGGGUAGGAUAGCUUGCUCCCCUGCUCUCGGUGGGAUUAGAUGUUGCGGGAUGGGUCUCUAAUGGUCAAGAAGUGCGAAUUUCAUCUU